Molecule: long non-coding RNA, 931 nt
Filed under: Sorghum bicolor (sorghum)
Lineage: Eukaryota; Viridiplantae; Streptophyta; Magnoliopsida; Poales; Poaceae
Description: long non-coding RNA (SBIC_LNC001741)
Source: RNAcentral
ACCCCUUCUUAACCACUAAACAACAAUACACAAACCAAAGUUCAAACGUACCUUAACAACGUAAUAACACUUGGUGCAUGCAUGCAUCAUCAGUUAGAUGCAUGCAAAUCGAUCGAUCGCAUCCUAUACCAUCAUACAUUAUAAGCAGCCAUUGCAGCUACUUACUAGGCGUCCAUGCGCGCCGGGUACUGGUCGACGCAGUCGAGCCAGGGGCUGCGCGCGGGGCGGCGCACGCGGCGCACGGCGCGCCACACCGCGCUGUUGCACUUGAAUCCUGACCCGAAGGCGAGCUGCCAGACGCGGUCGCCCCGGCGGACCCGGCCCUUGGCCUCCAGGUACGCCAGCUCGUACCAGAUGCUGCUGCUGGAGGUGUUGCCGAAUCGGUGCAGCGCGGCGCGGGAGGCCUCCAGGUCGGAGUUGCGCAGGCCCAGGUUGCUCUGCAGGUGCUCCAGCACGUCGCGGCUGGCCGCGUGCAUGCAGAAGUGCUCGAACGCGCGCUUGAAGUCCGGGAUGUAUGGCGCGGCGGCGGAGGCGUCCCCCGGCGUGGUCGGCGGCGGCGGCGUGGAGGCCUUGGACGGGAACAGGUGGCGGAACAGCACGCCCGCGAAGAAGAGCAGCUGCUCCGAGAAUGGCAGCACCAGGGGCCCCAGCGUGGUGAUGUUGGUCUUGAGCGCGUGCCCGCCCACCUCCAGCAGGUCGCGGCUGAUGGACAGGCCCUUGAUCCGCUGCUCGUCUUCCUCCUGGUACACGGAGCGGAAGGCGCGGUCGUCGGCGCCCUUGUGCGUGCGCACCACGUGCUCCAGCUGGUACUUGGCGCGGUGGAAGUCGCGGCGCCGGUUGGACAGCAGCACCGCCGCGCACCCGGCGCGGAAGAAGGCGUUGGGGAUGAGCAUGGAGCGACGCUUCCCGGGGUACCACGUGAAGGAGACGG